GUGAAUCAUCGAAUUUUUGAACGCAAAUUGCACUCCCUGGUAUUCCGGGGAGUAUGCCUGUUUGAGGGUCGUUAGAACAAAAAUCGAAGCGUCGCUCUUUUUUUUAGCGGUGAUCGCGGCGGAAUUGAGCCGUCUUUCAAAUGGUAAUUCAUGUCUAGGUGGCUUGAAAUACAUCCAGCCGGUGCGAUUAAAGCGUAUUUAGGAUCAAUUUUGAUUAAUAA
RNAcentral lists this unclassified non-coding RNA (221 nucleotides) under Funneliformis mosseae. Its description in RNAcentral is "partial contains 5.8S ribosomal RNA and internal transcribed spacer 2". The stretch from base 1 to 71 matches the Rfam family "5.8S ribosomal RNA", at positions 84 to 154 of the family's 154-position model. Lineage: Eukaryota; Fungi; Glomeromycota; Glomeromycetes; Glomerales; Glomeraceae. The record is from RNAcentral.